UCCUGGCUCAGAUUGAACGCUGGCGGCAUGCCUUACACAUGCAAGUCGAACGGUAACAGGUCUUCGGAUGCUGACGAGUGGCGAACGGGUGAGUAAUACAUCGGAACGUGCCCAGACGUGGGGGAUAACGAGGCGAAAGCUUUGCUAAUACCGCAUACGAUCUAAGGAUGAAAGCAGGGGACCGCAAGGCCUUGCGCGUUUGGAGCGGCCGAUGGCAGAUUAGGUAGUUGGUGGGGUAAAGGCCUACCAAGGCGACGAUCUGUAGCGGGUCUGAGAGGAUGAUCCGCCACACUGGGACUGAGACACGGCCCAGACUCCUACGGGAGGCAGCAGUGGGGAAUUUUGGACAAUGGGCGCAAGCCUGAUCCAGCCAUGCCGCGUGCGGGAUGAAGGCCCUAUGGGUUGUAAACUUCUUUUGUACGGGAAAAAACCUUCUUACGUGUAAGAAGCUGAUUGUACUGUAAGAAUAAGGAGUC
Molecule: ribosomal RNA, 476 nt
Filed under: uncultured bacterium
Lineage: Bacteria
Description: bacterial SSU rRNA
Rfam family: Bacterial small subunit ribosomal RNA
Source: RNAcentral